UUUCUCAGAGAAUGAUUUUUUUGAUAAUAAUAUAUAGAGAGAUUUUUACAUAAUGAUUCAAUAAGUUAACAAAUGAAAUUAAACUCCCCUCAUGAAUAAUAAUUAAAACUCACGGCUCCAUCCUUCUCGUCAACCUAUUACAGCAUAUAUCGAUUGCAUAGGUUUGCAGUACAAUUCAUACAUGGAGCUUGAUAUCAAAGACGAGUAAGUUCAGAGCUUCUGGUGGUUUUUUCAAUUUCAAUUCAACAUCAGCAAUGUAUUUUAAAUUUAACUUAAAGUUAUCUGAGGAUGGGAUAAAACUGUUAUCAUCUUUUGAAACAUUCUAGUGGUUAGAUUUUAUCUCAAAUUUAGAAAUGAAAGUAGCACCCCGUCCUCUUAGUGGGAUUAUCUUUUUCGUGAAUGAUAUAGACUUUUCUAUCUUAAUCAUAACUUUUCUUUUAGCCACAGCAGAUUCAGUGACAUAUAUUAUAUAGUUUUGAGAUCUUCAAUGGAAGCGUUCCCGAUCAAAUUCCAUCAUGCUUCAAAUUCUUUUACAGCUCUCUUCUCUCUAGCUGAUGCAUUUUUCAAAUUAACUGGAUAUUCUCUACCAUGUUUCUGAAACUCACGAACAAGUUCAAUAUGUAGUCUCUUUCGAAGUUCCCCUUGUGGUAUAGCUUCCUUUUUCUUCUUGAAAGAUAUCUUAACCGCGAGUGCCCUUCUCACCAUUCUCAUAAGAAUCAUGACACUUUGGAGGUCUUGCUCAUCCAUCUAUUGUACUUUCUUAUUUAUUUGAAUGGUGAAUAACUUAAUAUCUUCCUUACUUGAAUGCUCUUCUGGUGUAAUUCGGUGGGCAGUUACUGCAAAUCCUAUAGCAAACAAAGUAAUCAAACCAAACAAGAUGGAGAUCUUCGCCAUGAUUAUUUUUAUUAUUCUAUAUAUGAGAGGAGUGAGUUUUUAUUUUGCUUUUUGGGAUUUAUAUAUAAAUUUAAAUGCUCUAAAUAUAGAUAUUUUUUAAUAAAAAAAAAGUUAAAAAAUAGGAAUUAAAACCAACGGAUCAUUUUCGAUAUUUAAGAUCAACCAACAAUAAAAUUUAAAGUUAAAAUCUCUAAGUAACAAAAUUCUGGUCUAGGUAUACUAAUUAAAGUACAAAAGAAUUAAUCAAUAUAUUUUUCUUAAAGAACAUGCAGGUAUACUUUUGUUAAUGGAUCAAGGGUAAGCAUUAUAUGAAUUUUGUAAACUAAAAAAUCCUCAUUUUCAAUUAAAAUUAUUAAGUUGGAUUUAAUUGGGGUACAUGAAAACAAAAAUAAACUAGAACACUUACGCAUAAACAUAUAUAUAUAUAUAUAUAUACAUACAUAUAUACAUAUAUAUACUCCAACACCAGGCACAAUUUUUUUCCAGACCCUGCUCCAUCUUUCUUCAUGAGAAAAUCUUUACCACAAUAGGUUUACGUAACAGUUAAAGUGUUGGCUUUUUUUAUUUUUAAAUUACAAAUUGUUUUUAAUAACACUACUCUUCAUAUCGAAUUUGUACAUUAUUUUCUCAAAUAUUUCAAUUUCUUUUGUUAUUUUUGUUCUGAAAUUGAAAUUAAAUUUCUUUUCAUUGUUCAACAUAGUGUAAAAAUAUGAUUAUUUUUUUAUUAUGAUUGUGACAGAUAUAUUAUUACAAUAAAUAAGCAUAUAAUUACUUACAGUAAAAAAUAUAAUUUUUUAUUUUCAUGAACUUCGUAGAUAUGUUAUUGCAGUAAAUAAUUAUAUUAUUGUUUUAUUUAAUUAUCUUAUAAAUCAAAAAAAUUAUCCACUUCAUUUCUAAUUUCAACAUUUUUUUUUUUUCAAAAUUUUCGACAUUUUUCUUACCAUGAAUGCUUUAAUGAAAAUAUAGAAUUUGUAAAUACAUACUUUAAAUGCAGAAGUAAACAACAAUUUUAGCAUUUACAUUACUUAUACAGUAAAUUAGAAUACCUAAUAGGAUUACGAGAAUGUCUUUUCUACAGCAGUUUGUAAAAAAAAAAUGAGUAAGUGAUUAAAAACAAGUAAAUAAAUGUUCUAAGAAGUUAAUCUCCACUAGUAUUUGAUGAGGUCCGGGAGGUAAUCUAUUCACAACUCUUUUACUGAUCAGGAUCUGGAUCCUAAUCUUUUUUUAUCUAAAAUGGUUAAUAGAAGGGUGAGCUAUACUAACUAGUAAGAAUAUCACACUAAUAACUGAUAUAGAAACUAAAUGUUAGUAAAAAUCAUAAAAUAACUAAUGGAGUCCUUAAUUUAAGUAAAUUCAUUUAACAUGAAAAAAAAUGUUUAUUUCAUACUUACCGUUACGAGUUUUCCAAAAUCAACCUAUAAAUACAAUUACUCAGAUAACAUUAUGAUUUUAUUUACAAGCUAGCAAGAAUGGUAAUUUUUUCUUUUUACAUACUUAUUGGAACCUAUAGGGGUUCAUAGAGAUAUUCUCUUAUUCGUGAAUCCAAUAUCCAGAUUUGUCAAGUAACCUGCCCGUCCCCAUACCCUAUCCAGUAAUGGGUGCCAAACACACUAUCACCUUGAUACCCCGUCCAGUAUGGAGGUGAACUAGAUUUUCCAAACCUUUUCGGUAUGAGACUUCUCAACCCCAUCCGAUUGAAGCAAUGUCCACAGUAAGUUUUCCUAUAUAUCAGAUCCAUUCACCUUUUUCCAGGGUACCCAAUAAUCCUCUCACAUAGAUUUAAAGCAUAAACUAAUUAUCACUUAUAUACCAAUAACUUAUAUUUACAGAUCAAUAGUAAAUUAUGCAAAUAGGUGAUACGUACAUAAAGAAACAUAAUUGAAAUAUUUAUUGCAAAAUAAACCAACAAAUGGGGGGUAUGUAGUGAGGUAAACCAAAUAACCGAGAGAGCCUUUAAGUCUAUCAAUUCAAUUCACACAAUAUAAUAGUAAAUAUUUUAAGCAGUAUAAGUAAAAUAAACAGUAAACAGAGUAAAGAUUAAUUGACCGGUUCUGACUCUAUUAGUGACUGUAAUUAUUUUUAGAAUUUUUUAAUUUUCAUAAACACAGUAUUAUUGAUUAUUAAUUUUCAAUUUAUGUAACAAGGAAUAGGGUGAGGGAUUUUUACCCCAGAUCAGUAUUCGAAAUACUAUACUGUAUACUGCACUUUCUAGCUCUCCUUAUGUUUCUUGAAUUUUUU
This 3132-nucleotide long non-coding RNA is filed under the name Carica papaya (papaya). Its description in RNAcentral is "long non-coding RNA (CPAP_LNC011623)". Lineage: Eukaryota; Viridiplantae; Streptophyta; Magnoliopsida; Brassicales; Caricaceae. The record is from RNAcentral.